CCCAUCCCCCUUUUACCCCUAUAGUCCGGACACGUAAGGCAAGCAUUUUUGAUUCGGUGUAAUCUGCACAAGUACAAUCCUAGAUUUCUAUAUUGCCUUUUACUCCACUUGCUAAAUAGGCGGCUAGCUUUCUACUAGGUAGCUGUCAUUAUCUGUUCUUAAUAGUAAGUGAUUCUCAGCCACAAAUAAUCUUUUUUUUUACUAUUUUCAUAGAAAGUUAACUAUAUAUCAUCGUCAUCAUACACCGUCUAUCCUCGUCGUAGAGUUUCAGUAGAAGUCAUGUCGAAUUGGAAAAGACGAUCAUUUAUAUUUUGUGAUUUCAAAGGAGCUUAAGAGAUUCAUGUACAUCUCGUGAACCAGUGUAUUCA
Molecule: long non-coding RNA, 368 nt
Filed under: Brassica napus (rape)
Lineage: Eukaryota; Viridiplantae; Streptophyta; Magnoliopsida; Brassicales; Brassicaceae
Description: long non-coding RNA (BNAP_LNC016346)
Source: RNAcentral